ACAUAUUACCGAAGCUGUGGAUUGUCCUUUGGACAAUGGUAGGAGAGCGUUCUAAGGGCGUCGAAGCAUGAUCGCAAGGACAUGUGGAGCGCUUAGAAGUGAGAAUGCCGGUGUGAGUAGCGAAAGACGGGUGAGAAUCCCGUCCACCGAUUGACUAAGGUUUCCAGAGGAAGGCUCGUCCGCUCUGGGUUAGUCGGGUCCUAAGCUGAGGCCGACAGGCGUAGGCGAUGGAUAACAGGUUGAUAUUCCUGUACCACCUAGUAUCGUUUUAAUCGAUGGGGGGACGCAGUAGGAUAGGCGAAGCGUGCUGUUGGAGUGCACGUCCAAGCAGUAAGGCUGAGUGUUAGGCAAAUCCGGCACUCAUAAGGCUGAGCUGUGAUGGGGAGAGGAAAUUGUUUCCUCGAGUCGUUGAUUUCACACUGCCGAGAAAAGCCUCUAGAUAGAUAACAGGUGCCCGUACCGCAAACCGACACAGGUAGUCAAGAUGAGAAUUCUAAGGUGAGCGAGCGAACUCUCGUUAAGGAACUCGGCAAAAUGACCCCGUAACUUCGGGAGAAGGGGUGCUCUUUAGGGUUCACGCCCAGAAGAGCCGCAGUGAAUAGGCCCAAGCGACUGUUUAUCAAAAACACAGGUCUCUGCUAAACCGUAAGGUGAUGUAUAGGGGCUGACGCCUGCCCGGUGCUGGAAGGUUAAGAGGAGUGGUUAGCUUCUGCGAAGCUACGAAUCGAAGCCCCAGUAAACGGCGGCCGUAACUAUAACGGUCCUAAGGUAGCGAAAUUCCUUGUCGGGUAAGUUCCGACCCGCACGAAAGGCGUAACGAUUUGGGCACUGUCUCAACGAGAGACUCGGUGAAAUCAUAGUACCUGUGAAGAUGCAGGUUACCCGCGACAGGACGGAAAGACCCCGUGGAGCUUUACUGUAGCCUGAUAUUGAAAUUCGGCACAGCUUGUACAGGAUAGGUAGGAGCCUUUGAAACGUGAGCGCUAGCUUACGUGGAGGCGUUGGUGGGAUACUACCCUAGCUGUGUUGGCUUUCUAACCCGCACCACUUAUCGUGGUGGGAGACAGUGUCAGGCGGGCAGUUUGACUGGGGCGGUCGCCUCCUAAAAGGUAACGGAGGCGCUCAAAGGUUCCCUCAGAAUGGUUGGAAAUCAUUCAUAGAGUGUAAAGGCAUAAGGGAGCUUGACUGCGAGACCUACAAGUCGAGCAGGGUCGAAAGACGGACUUAGUGAUCCGGUGGUUCCGCAUGGAAGGGCCAUCGCUCAACGGAUAAAAGCUACCCCGGGGAUAACAGGCUUAUCUCCCCCAAGAGUUCACAUCGACGGGGAGGUUUGGCACCUCGAUGUCGGCUCAUCGCAUCCUGGGGCUGUAGUCGGUCCCAAGGGUUGGGCUGUUCGCCCAUUAAAGCGGUACGCUAGCUGGGUUCAGAACGUCGUGAGACAGUUCGGUCCCUAUCCGUCGUGGGCGUAGGAAAUUUGAGAGGAGCUGUCCUUAGUACGAGAGGACCGGGAUGGACAUACCUCUGGUGUACCAGUUGUCGUGCCAACGGCAUAGCUGGGUAGCUAUGUAUGGACGGGAUAAGUGCUGAAAGCAUCUAAGCAUGAAGCCCCCCUCAAGAUGAGAUUUCCCAACUUCGGUUAUAAGAUCCCUCGAAGAUGACGAGGUUAAUAGGUUCGAGGUGGAAGCGUGGUGACACGUGGAGCUGACGAAUACUAAUCGAUCGAAGACUUAAUCAAUUUUUAAA
This 1743-nucleotide ribosomal RNA is filed under the name Staphylococcus epidermidis. Its description in RNAcentral is "bacterial LSU rRNA". It matches the Rfam family "Bacterial large subunit ribosomal RNA", at positions 1186 to 2925 of the family's 2925-position model. Lineage: Bacteria; Bacillati; Bacillota; Bacilli; Caryophanales; Staphylococcaceae. The record is from RNAcentral.